GGAGGCGUGUCCGGUCUGGUGACCGGCGCGGUCUUCAACACCGACGGGCGGCAGGACCUGCCGCCGGCGGGUUCGAUUCCCGUCCGCCUCCG
Molecule: transfer RNA, 92 nt
Filed under: Lentzea flaviverrucosa
Lineage: Bacteria; Bacillati; Actinomycetota; Actinomycetes; Pseudonocardiales; Pseudonocardiaceae
Description: tRNA-OTHER
Rfam family: Selenocysteine transfer RNA
Source: RNAcentral